UCUCCGUUGGUGAGCCAGCGGAGGGAUCAUUACUGAGUUACCGCUCUACAACCCUUUGUGAACAUACCUAACUGUUGCUUCGGCGGGCAGAGGUCCCUCGCGGAUCUCUCCCGGCAACGCCCUCACGGGCGGAGCGCCCGCCGGAGGAUACCAAACUCUAUUUUAACGACGUUUCUUCUGAGUGGCACAAGCAAAUAACUAAAACUUUUAACAACGGAUCUCUUGGUUCUG
RNAcentral lists this unclassified non-coding RNA (231 nucleotides) under plant metagenome. RNAcentral describes it as "partial contains small subunit ribosomal RNA, internal transcribed spacer 1, and 5.8S ribosomal RNA". The record is from RNAcentral.